ACUCAAAUGAAUAGACGGGGGCCCGCACAAGCAGUGGAGUAUGUGGUUUAAUUCGAAGCAACGCGAAGAACCUUACCAGGUCUUGACAUCCAUGGAAGGCGCAAGAGAUUGUGCCGUGCCUUUCGGGGAGCCAUGAGACAGGUGGUGCAUGGUUGUCGUCAGCUCGUGUCGUGAGAUGUUGGGUUAAGUCCCGCAACGAGCGCAACCCUUGCCAUUAGUUGCUACGCAAGAGCACUCUAAUGGGACCGCCGCCGACAAGGCGGAGGAAGGCGGGGAUGACGUCAAAUCAUCAUGCCCCUUAUGACCUGGGCUACACACGUACUACAAUGGCCGCCAACAACGGGAAGCAAAGCUGUGAAGUGGAGCAAAUCCCCAAAAGCGGUCUCAGUUCAGAUCGCAGGCUGCAACCCGCCUGCGUGAAGUCGGAAUUGCUAGUAAUCGCGGAUCAGCAUGCCGCGGUGAAUACGUUCCCGGGCCUUGUACACACCGCCCGU
This 494-nucleotide ribosomal RNA is filed under the name uncultured bacterium. RNAcentral describes it as "bacterial SSU rRNA". It matches the Rfam family "Bacterial small subunit ribosomal RNA", at positions 899 to 1397 of the family's 1533-position model. The record is from RNAcentral.